This 389-nucleotide ribosomal RNA is filed under the name uncultured bacterium. RNAcentral describes it as "bacterial SSU rRNA". It matches the Rfam family "Bacterial small subunit ribosomal RNA", at positions 28 to 410 of the family's 1533-position model. The record is from RNAcentral.
GACGAACGCUGGCGGCGUGCCUAACACAUGCAAGUCGAACGGAGAUGUUUAUUUCGGUAGAUAUCUUAGUGGCGCACGGGUGAGUAACGCGUGAAUAACCUGACCCGAAGAGGGGGAUAAACACCUGGAAACAAGUGCUAAUACCGCAUAAGACCACAGACCGGCAUCGGUCAGAGGUCAAAGGAGAAAUCCGCCUUGGGAGGGGUUCGCGUCCCAUUAGGGUAGUUGGUGAGGUAACGGCCCACCAAGCCGACGAUGGGUAGCCGAGCUGAGAGGCUGAUCGGCCACACUGGAACUGAGACACGGUCCAGACUCCUACGGGAGGCAGCAGUGGGGAAUAUUGGGCAAUGGGGCGCAAAGCCUGACCCAGCAACGCCGCGUGAGGGAAG